Molecule: ribosomal RNA, 447 nt
Filed under: uncultured bacterium
Lineage: Bacteria
Description: partial 16S ribosomal RNA
Rfam family: Bacterial small subunit ribosomal RNA
Source: RNAcentral
AACGAACGCUGGCGGCAGGCUUAACACAUGCAAGUCGAACGCCCCGCAAGGGGAGUGGCGCACGGGUGCGUAACGCGUGGGAACAUGCCUUUAGGUACGGAACAACGUCGGGAAACUGACGCUAAUACCGUAUAAUAUCUCCGGAUCAAAGAUUUAUCGCCUAAAGAUUGGCCCGCGUUAGAUUAGGUAGUUGGUGGGGUAAUGGCCUACCAAGCCGACGAUCUAUAGCUGGUCUGAGAGGAUGAUCAGCCACACUGGAACUGAGACACGGUCCAGACUCCUACGGGAGGCAGCAGUGAGGAAUAUUGGACAAUGGGGGAAACCCUGAUCCAGCCAUGCCGCGUGAGUGAUGAAUGCCUUAGGGUUGUAAAGCUCUUUUAGAUGGGAAGAUAAUGACUGUACCAUCAGAAUAAGCCCCGGCUAAAUUCGUGCCAGCCGCCGCCGUAA